RNAcentral lists this ribosomal RNA (990 nucleotides) under Triticum aestivum (bread wheat). RNAcentral's name for it is "partial small subunit ribosomal RNA". Lineage: Eukaryota; Viridiplantae; Streptophyta; Magnoliopsida; Poales; Poaceae. The record is from RNAcentral.
AUGACCGAGCUCUACUCCGGCGCGAUCAAGCUCGACGCCGUCGUCUUCUUCCUCGGGGAGCGACGCCCGCAUCUCCUUCUUCUUUCUCGACCUCGCAAGCGCCCAUUCGAGCCACGGAUCGACCUCCUCCUUGACGUCUUCUUCCCCUGCUUCCUCUGCUUCAUGGACCCGAAGCCCCGCCAAGUCCACCGCCGCCGUUCAGCGCACUUCCCCGCCGUCUCCACUGCGUUCCGGUUGAACUACGACGUCGCCGAAACCCGUGGUGAGCUCAUGCUCCUCCCGGUCUUUGUCCCCUUGUUGAUUCCGUCCACGAAGCCGGCGUCUGUGCAUAUCCGAGGCCUUGAUCGCUGGAAAUCUUCGCAACCUCUGCUGUACACGCUCGAGCUCGCCCACGUACACGCUCCCGUAGCCCCCGCAUGCAUCUGCAGCCCCGCGCGCACCCUGCCUGCUUGCCGCUCGCUCGCCGCGCCAUGCUCGCCUCUGCCGCACUUGCUCGCCGACGCCCGAGACGAGCACGGCCUCAUGCUCGAGCCAAUCUCCCGCAGCUGCUCCGCACGCACGCACGCAUCCAUACCCCAUUCCCGCAGGCCCGCCGGUGCUCUGCAUCGCGAGCCGCCGCCUCCUAGCUCGUCAAUGCCAGCUCCGUUGAUCUCUGUGCAGCCAUGGCCAAAGGUUCGGCCUUCUUGUUAUGAGUCAAGAAGAAUCAGGCGCAUUGAAUUUCACAAGCGCACAUGCAGCGUAGUGAUCAGCGACUUUUCUGUAUACCGAGAGGUCCUGGGAUCAAAUCCCAGGGAGCCUCAAUUCCUUUUUCCCCGGUGUAUUGUUUUUUUCCUUCCAACCGUGCACACACAGCCACUUGGGCCUCAUUCACUCUCGGGCCGCGGUACUGUGUUGCUUCUGGCCCGCCUAUGUUUUUUUCUCUGCUCUGUGAUUUUAGCAUUUUCCAGUGCAUGCAUAUUUACAGGAAAUGCCACUGUUUUGCAUUGUUAA